ACACAUGCAGUCGAGCGGUAGAGAGAAGCUUGCUUCUCUUGAGAGCGGCGGACGGGUGAGUAAUGCCUAGGAAUCUGCCUGGUAGUGGGGGAUAACGUUCGGAAACGAACGCUAAUACCGCAUACGUCCUACGGGAGAAAGCAGGGGACCUUCGGGCCUUGCGCUAUCGGAUGAGCCUAGGUCGGAUUAGCUAGUUGGUGGGGUAAUGGCUCACCAAGGCGACGAUCCGUAACUGGUCUGAGAGGAUGAUCAGUCACACUGGAACUGAGACACGGUCCAGACUCCUACGGGAGGCAGCAGUGGGGAAUAUUGGACAAUGGGCGAAAGCCUGAUCCAGCCAUGCCGCGUGUGUGAAGAAGGUCUUCGGAUUGUAAAGCACUUUAAGUUGGGAGGAAGGGCCAUUACCUAAUACGUGAUGGUUUUGACGUUACCGACAGAAUAAGCACCGGCUAACUCUGUGCCAGCAGCCGCGGUAAUACAGAGGGUGCAAGCGUUAAUCGGAAUUACUGGGCGUAAAGCGCGCGUAGGUGGUUUGUUAAGUUGGAUGUGAAAUCCCCGGGCUCAACCUGGGAACUGCAUUCAAAACUGACUGACUAGAGUAUGGUAGAGGGUGGUGGAAUUUCCUGUGUAGCGGUGAAAUGCGUAGAUAUAGGAAGGAACACCAGUGGCGAAGGCGACCACCUGGACUGAUACUGACACUGAGGUGCGAAAGCGUGGGGAGCAAACAGGAUUAGAUACCCUGGUAGUCCACGCCGUAAACGAUGUCAACUAGCCGUUGGGAGCCUUGAGCUCUUAGUGGCGCAGCUAACGCAUUAAGUUGACCGCCUGGGGAGUACGGCCGCAAGGUUAAAACUCAAA
Molecule: ribosomal RNA, 858 nt
Filed under: Pseudomonas libanensis
Lineage: Bacteria; Pseudomonadati; Pseudomonadota; Gammaproteobacteria; Pseudomonadales; Pseudomonadaceae
Description: bacterial SSU rRNA
Rfam family: Bacterial small subunit ribosomal RNA
Source: RNAcentral